Molecule: ribosomal RNA, 240 nt
Filed under: bacterium enrichment culture clone ALO1_GLFRUDD03HBS14
Lineage: Bacteria
Description: partial 16S ribosomal RNA
Rfam family: Bacterial small subunit ribosomal RNA
Source: RNAcentral
GAGUUUGAUCGUGGCUCAGAUUGAACGCUGGCGGCAUGCCUUACACAUGCAAGUCGAACGGCAGCACGGGAGCUUGCUCCUGGUGGCGAGUGGCGAACGGGUGAGUAAUGCAUCGGAACGUAUCCUGGAGUGGGGGAUAACGUAGCGAAAGUUACGCUAAUACCGCAUAUUCUGUGAGCAGGAAAGCGGGGGCCUUCGGGCCUCGCGCUCUUGGAGCGGCCGAUGUCGGAUUAGCUAGUU